UUAAUUGAAACCAAAGGAGAGGUAUGUCACUGUUAAUGACAAAACUGUAAUAUUUACCAAUUAAA
RNAcentral lists this transfer RNA (65 nucleotides) under Tenebrionoidea sp. 20 KM-2017. Its description in RNAcentral is "tRNA-Asn". Lineage: Eukaryota; Metazoa; Arthropoda; Insecta; Coleoptera. The record is from RNAcentral.